GCCACUGCUAUUGGGGUUCGGCUAAGCCAUGCGAGUGGAGGGCGUCCCGCAAGGGAUGGCCCCGCAGACGGCUCAGUAACACGUCGUCAACCCACCUUAGGGUGGGGGACAACCUCGGGAAACUGAGGAUAAUCCCCCAUAGGCGGGGGAGGCUAGAAUGCGCCCCCGCUGAAAGCUCAGGCGCCCUAGGACGGGACGGCGGCCUACCAGGUAGUUGGUGGUGUGACG
Molecule: ribosomal RNA, 228 nt
Filed under: uncultured archaeon
Lineage: Archaea
Description: partial 16S ribosomal RNA
Rfam family: Archaeal small subunit ribosomal RNA
Source: RNAcentral